GUAAAAAGUAGAAUAAUAGAUUUGAAAUAUUUAUUAUAUAGAUUUAAAGAGAUAAUCAUGGAGUAUAAUAAUUAAAUUUAAUAAAUUUAAUAUAACUAUUAAUAGAAUUAGGUUACUAAUAAAUUAAUAACAAUUAAUUUUAAAACCUAAAGGUAAACCUUUAUAUUAAUAAUGUUUUUUUUUUAUUAUUUUUAUAAUAAGAAUAAUUAUUAAUAAUAAUAAACUAAGUGAACUGAAACAUCUAAGUAACUUAAGGAUAAGAAAUCAACAGAGAUAUUAUGAGUAUUGGUGAGAGAAAAUAAUAAAGGUCUAAUAAGUAUUAUGUGAAAAAAAUGUAAGAAAAUAGGAUAACAAAUUCUAAGACUAAAUACUAUUAAUAAGUAUAGUAAGUACCGUAAGGGAAAGUAUGAAAAUGAUUAUUUUAUAAGCAAUCAUGAAUAUAUUAUAUUAUAUUAAUGAUGUACCUUUUGUAUAAUGGGUCAGCAAGUAAUUAAUAUUAGUAAAACAAUAAGUUAUAAAUAAAUAGAAUAAUAUAUAUAUAUAUAAAAAUAUAUUAAAAUAUUUAAUUAAUAUUAAUUGACCCGAAAGCAAACGAUCUAACUAUGAUAAGAUGGAUAAACGAUCGAACAGGUUGAUGUUGCAAUAUCAUCUGAUUAAUUGUGGUUAGUAGUGAAAGACAAAUCUGGUUUGCAGAUAGCUGGUUUUCUAUGAAAUAUAUGUAAGUAUAGCCUUUAUAAAUAAUAAUUAUUAUAUAAUAUUAUAUUAAUAUUAUAUAAAGAAUGGUACAGCAAUUAAUAUAUAUUAGGGAACUAUUAAAGUUUUAUUAAUAAUAUUAAAUCUCGAAAUAUUUAAUUAUAUAUAAUAAAGAGUCAGAUUAUGUGCGAUAAGGUAAAUAAUCUAAAGGGAAACAGCCCAGAUUAAGAUAUAAAGUUCCUAAUAAAUAAUAAGUGAAAUAAAUAUUAAAAUAUUAUAAUAUAAUCAGUUAAUGGGUUUGACAAUAACCAUUUUUUAAUGAACAUGUAACAAUGCACUGAUUUAUAAUAAAUAAAAAAAAAUAAUAUUUAAAAUCAAAUAUAUAUAUAUAUAUUUGUUAAUAGAUAAUAUACGGAUCUUAAUAAUAAGAAUUAUUUAAUUCCUAAUAUGGAAUAUUAUAUUUUUAUAAUAAAAAUAUAAAUACUGAAUAUCUAAAUAUUAUUAUUACUUUUUUUUUUAAUAAUAAUAAUAUGGUAAUAGAACAUUUAAUGAUAAUAUAUAUUAGUUAUUAAUUAAUAUAUGUAUUAAUUAAAUAGAGAAUGCUGACAUGAGUAACGAAAAAAAGGUAUAAACCUUUUCACCUAAAACAUAAGGUUUAACUAUAAAAGUACGGCCCCUAAUUAAAUUAAUAAGAAUAUAAAUAUAUUUAAGAUGGGAUAAUCUAUAUUAAUAAAAAUUUAUCUUAAAAUAUAUAUAUUAUUAAUAAUUAUAUUAAUAAUAUAUAUAAUUAUAUUAUAUAUUUUUUUUUUAUAUAAUAUAAACUAAUAAAGAUCAGGAAAUAAUUAAUGUAUACCGUAAUGUAGACCGACUCAGGUAUGUAAGUAGAGAAUAUGAAGGUGAAUUAGAUAAUUAAAGGGAAGGAACUCGGCAAAGAUAGCUCAUAAGUUAGUCAAUAAAGAGUAAUAAGAACAAAGUUGUACAACUGUUUACUAAAAACACCGCACUUUGCAGAAACGAUAAGUUUAAGUAUAAGGUGUGAACUCUGCUCCAUGCUUAAUAUAUAAAUAAAAUUAUUUAACGAUAAUUUAAUUAAAUUUAGGUAAAUAGCAGCCUUAUUAUGAGGGUUAUAAUGUAGCGAAAUUCCUUGGCCUAUAAUUGAGGUCCCGCAUGAAUGACGUAAUGAUACAACAACUGUCUCCCCUUUAAGCUAAGUGAAAUUGAAAUCGUAGUGAAGAUGCUAUGUACCUUCAGCAAGACGGAAAGACCCUAUGCAGCUUUACUGUAAUUAGAUAGAUCGAAUUAUUGUUUAUUAUAUUCAGCAUAUUAAGUAAUCCUAUUAUUAGGUAAUCGUUUAGAUAUUAAUGAGAUACUUAUUAUAAUAUAAUGAUAAUUCUAAUCUUAUAAAUAAUUAUUAUUAUUAUUAUUAAUAAUAAUAAUAUGCUUUCAAGCAUAGUGAUAAAACAUAUUUAUAUGAUAAUCACUUUACUUAAUAGAUAUAAUUCUUAAGUAAUAUAUAAUAUAUAUUUUUUAUAUAUUAUAUAUAAUAUAAGAGACAAUCUCUAAUUGGUAGUUUUGAUGGGGCGUCAUUAUCAGCAAAAGUAUCUGAAUAAGUCCAUAAAUAAAUAUAUAAAAUUAUUGAAUAAAAAAAUAAUAUAUAUUAUAUAUAUUAAUUAUAAAUUGAAAUAUGUUUAUAUAAAUUUAUAUUUAUUGAAUAUAUUUUAGUAAUAGAUAAAAAUAUGUACAGUAAAAUUGUAAGGAAAACAAUAAUAACUUUCUCCUCUCUCGGUGGGGGUUCACACCUAUUUUUAAUAGGUGUUCACCCCUCUUCGGGGUUCCGGUUCCCUUUCGGGUCCCGGAACUUAAAUAAAAAUAAUUAUGGAAAGAAUUAAAUUAAUAUAAUGGUAUAACUGUGCGAUAAUUGUAACACAAACGAGUGAAACAAGUACGUAAGUAUGGCAUAAUGAACAAAUAACACUGAUUGUAAAGGUUAUUGAUAACGAAUAAAAGUUACGCUAGGGAUAACAGGGUAAUAUAGCGAAAGAGUAGAUAUUGUAAGCUAUGUUUGCCACCUCGAUGUCGACUCAACAUUUCCUCUUGGUUGUAAAAGCUAAGAAGGGUUUGACUGUUCGUCAAUUAAAAUGUUACGUGAGUUGGGUUAAAUACGAUGUGAAUCAGUAUGGUUCCUAUCUGCUGAAGGAAAUAUUAUCAAAUUAAAUCUCAUUAUUAGUACGCAAGGACCAUAAUGAAUCAACCCAUGGUGUAUCUAUUGAUAAUAAUAUAAUAUAUUUAAUAAAAAUAAUACUUUAUUAAUAUAUUAUCUAUAUUAGUUUAUAUUUUAAUUAUAUAUUAUCAUAGUAGAUAAGCUAAGUUGAUAAUAAAUAAAUAUUGAAUACAUAUUAAAUAUGAAGUUGUUUUAAUAAGAUAAUUAAUCUGAUAAUUUUAUACUAAAAUUAAUAAUUAUAGGUUUUAUAUAUUAUUUAUAAAUAAAUAUAUUAUAAUAAUAAUAAUUAUUAUUAUUAAUAAAAAAUAUUAAUUAUAAUAUUAAUAAAAUACUAAUUUAUCAGUUAUCUAUAUAAUAUCUAAUCUAUUAUUCUAUAUACU
This 3294-nucleotide ribosomal RNA is filed under the name Saccharomyces cerevisiae YJM1401. RNAcentral's name for it is "21S ribosomal RNA". The stretch from base 187 to 3134 matches the Rfam family "Bacterial large subunit ribosomal RNA". The record is from RNAcentral. Lineage: Eukaryota; Fungi; Ascomycota; Saccharomycetes; Saccharomycetales; Saccharomycetaceae.